RNAcentral lists this ribosomal RNA (492 nucleotides) under uncultured bacterium. RNAcentral describes it as "bacterial SSU rRNA". It matches the Rfam family "Bacterial small subunit ribosomal RNA", at positions 28 to 506 of the family's 1533-position model. The record is from RNAcentral.
GAUGAACGCUAGCGGCAGGCUUAAUACAUGCAAGUUGAGGGGCAGCAUGAUAUACGCGAGUAUAUUGAUGGCGACCGGCGGACGGGUGAGUAAUAGGUAGGAGACCUACCUCAUACAGGGGGAUAGCAUAGAGAAAUCUGUGGUAAUACCCCAUGAGGUUAUAUGAAUAGAGGCAUAUAAUCAAAGCAUAAGCGAUUAUGCGGUAUGAGAGGGGCCUACUGACCAUUAGCUAGUUGGUGAGGUAAGGGCUCACCAAGGCGAAGAUGGUUAGGGGUUUUGAGAGAGAGACCCCCCACAUUGGAACUGAGAGACGGUCCAGACUCCUACGGGAGGCAGCAGUAGGGAAUAUUGGGCAAUGGGCGAAAGCCUGACCCAGCCAUGCCGCGUGAAGGAAGACGGCCUUAUGGGUUGUAAACUUCUUUACUACGCGAAUAGAGGUUAGUACGAGAUACUAAUAGGAAGUAGUGUAGUAAAAAGACCGGCUAACUCCGU